Molecule: long non-coding RNA, 1202 nt
Organism: Patella vulgata (common limpet)
Lineage: Eukaryota; Metazoa; Mollusca; Gastropoda; Patellidae
Exons: 6
Source: RefSeq, a predicted model, not a curated record
UGUCGCUCAAUGAUGCAGUGCUCAAUUUCAACUUUGUUAGAAUUUUGAUGCUGGAAGCGCGUGCCUUGGAAUGCUAGAGAGACAGACAGACAACGGUUGAUGGCGGACGCGAGAAUAGACUGUCAUAACGUCGUAUGCUGCAUAAAUAAUUUCAACAGAAUAACAACAAUUAUGUCUAUGUAGCUGUAUCUGGUCUUGGCACUGGUAGAAUUCACUGAGAAUCCUAAUAUCAGUGAUUCACCGGUUCCAAAUUCGGUCGGCAAAAAUCAUCUAGAAUUGAUUGGAAUCUGUGGUGAUUGGAGUUUGAUGUACGGUGACAAACAGAUUUUAUGAAAAAGUGAUUGAUGGUGAUAGUUAACAGAUAUAAUGUCAUGUUAAUGGGGACCGGAUGUGGAGAGAAAUAAGCCAUCAACAGAUUAACUUUAGCAAACCUAUGAUUUGAUUCUGGUGAUCUGCCACACAGAAGCAGAGAAAAACAGAAAAAUCCCAAUAGACUGGGUAUUUAGGUUGGAUGACCAAAAGAUUUUAGACGAAUAUCUCAUGCUUCAUAGAGAUGACGUUAGGAGCAGACUUGAAAAGAUGAAGUCGUUGGUUGUGAUUGUUCUUCUCGGCAUAAUAUCAGCUGCCCAGGCUUAUUAUUGCCAGUAUUAUGACAGUUUUGGUACAUUGAAGCAUAAAUAUUGUUCGUAUGGAUGCUGUGGUGGAUUUCACCCAUCAUCACUCACAGCUUGUUGCACAACUUACAUUACGACGACAGUUAAUAUUGGUACUGUAGCUGGAGCAGUUGUUGGAAGUAUUGUUUGUCUAGCUGUGUUUAUAGCUAUUAUUAUCAUUAUAUGCAGAAGGCGCAGAGCCACCGUAAUUUACUCAAGUGGUGGCUGUGGUCCUACGGUCAGCACAGUUACAACAACAGCACACCCUGCUCCAUAUACGUCUUAUGGAUACAACUAACCUCAUGUUAUUUAUAUUUAGAGAUUGAAGGUAUUUGAUGUACUCAAACACCAAAGAUAUUUAAUUGAUUCAAACACUGUCAAUCUUUUAUUUAUUCACAUACUGAUGCUGUUAGUUCGUUAAAAUCGGUUGUAGUUUUUAAGCUCUUAUGUAAAGAUAUUUGUAAUUUCAGAUGUAAAAUCUAUCGUAAUUUAUUUAACAUGUAAAAUCUAUUGUAAUUUAUUCCACAUGUAAAAUAUAUUGUACAUUAG